RNAcentral lists this transfer RNA (71 nucleotides) under Marmota marmota marmota (Alpine marmot). It matches the Rfam family "tRNA". Rfam says of the family: Transfer RNA (tRNA) molecules are approximately 80 nucleotides in length. Their secondary structure includes four short double-helical elements and three loops (D, anti-codon, and T loops). Lineage: Eukaryota; Metazoa; Chordata; Mammalia; Rodentia; Sciuridae. RNAcentral also lists the same sequence under 1 other name. The record is from Rfam by way of RNAcentral.
GUGGGUGUAGCUCAGUGGUAGAGCACUUGCCUAGCAUGUGUGAGGCCCUGGGUUCAGUGCCCAGUACCACA